AAAAAACAUUCAUAAUAUGGCUUUCUUUUCAGGUGUGUUCAGUUGUUUCACUAGCAAUGUUCCUUCAAGAGUUUGUGAUGAUGCAAACAAGUCAAAAUCAUCAACAGCAAACACCAAAAAGAAAUCAUCAUCAAGAGCUCCAAUUCCUAUUUCUUACUUCCCUAUCAACUCACAAGUUUCACGUUUGUAGUAUCUUACACUAUUAGGUCAUUCAAAUAAUUUUUACAGGUUCAAUUUCACGAAGAAUAUAUCAUACAUGGAGAUCCAAUUAGUUGCUAUCUAUGAUUCUCAUUUGAUUCUAGUGCUAGUUGUGUAGAGAAAGGGGAAAUUAAUUUGUACUUUUACAUAUUUU
Solanum stenotomum is the source of this 352-nucleotide long non-coding RNA. RefSeq lists it as uncharacterized. The record is from RefSeq and is a predicted model, not a curated record. The transcript has 2 exons. Lineage: Eukaryota; Viridiplantae; Streptophyta; Magnoliopsida; Solanales; Solanaceae.